RNAcentral lists this ribosomal RNA (910 nucleotides) under uncultured bacterium. RNAcentral's name for it is "bacterial SSU rRNA". It matches the Rfam family "Bacterial small subunit ribosomal RNA", at positions 8 to 916 of the family's 1533-position model. The record is from RNAcentral.
AGAGUUUGAUCCUGGCUCAGAUUGAACGCUGGCGGCAUGCCUUACACAUGCAAGUCGAACGGCAGCGCGGGGCAACCUGGCGGCGAGUGGCGAACGGGUGAGUAAUAUAUCGGAACGUACCCUGGAGUGGGGGAUAACGUAGCGAAAGUUACGCUAAUACCGCAUACGAUCUAAGGAUGAAAGUGGGGGAUCGCAAGACCUCAUGCUCCUGGAGCGGCCGAUAUCUGAUUAGCUAGUUGGUGGGGUAAAGGCCUACCAAGGCAUCGAUCAGUAGCUGGUCUGAGAGGACGACCAGCCACACUGGAACUGAGACACGGUCCAGACUCCUACGGGAGGCAGCAGUGGGGAAUUUUGGACAAUGGGCGAAAGCCUGAUCCAGCAAUGCCGCGUGAGUGAAGAAGGCCUUCGGGUUGUAAAGCUCUUUUGUCAGGGAAGAAACGGUGAGGGCUAAUAUCCCUUGCUAAUGACGGUACCUGAAGAAUAAGCACCGGCUAACUACGUGCCAGCAGCCGCGGUAAUACGUAGGGUGCAAGCGUUAAUCGGAAUUACUGGGCGUAAAGCGUGCGCAGGCGGUUUUGUAAGUCUGUCGUGAAAUCCCCGGGCUCAACCUGGGAAUUGCGAUGGAGACUGCAAGGCUAGAAUCUGGCAGAGGGGGGUAGAAUUCCACGUGUAGCAGUGAAAUGCGUAGAGAUGUGGAGGAACACCGAUGGCGAAGGCAGCCCCCUGGGUCAAGAUUGACGCUCAUGCACGAAAGCGUGGGGAGCAAACAGGAUUAGAUACCCUGGUAGUCCACGCCCUAAACGAUGUCUACUAGUUGUCGGGUUUUAAUUAACUUGGUAACGCAGCUAACGCGUGAAGUAGACCGCCUGGGGAGUACGGUCGCAAGAUUAAAACUCAAAGGAAUUGACGG